This 1120-nucleotide ribosomal RNA is filed under the name Microbacterium arborescens. RNAcentral describes it as "bacterial SSU rRNA". It matches the Rfam family "Bacterial small subunit ribosomal RNA", at positions 1 to 1142 of the family's 1533-position model. Lineage: Bacteria; Bacillati; Actinomycetota; Actinomycetes; Micrococcales; Microbacteriaceae. The record is from RNAcentral.
AAGAGUUUGAUCCUGGCUCAGGAUGAACGCUGGCGGCGUGCUUAACACAUGCAAGUCGAACGGUGAAGCAGAGCUUGCCCUGUGGAAAGGGCGAACGGGUGAGUAACACGUGAGCAAUCUGCCCCUGACUCUGGGAUAAGCGCUGGAAACGGCGUCUAAUACCGGAUACGAGCUGCGACCGCAUGGUCAGUAGCUGGAAAGAAUUUCGGGUCAGGGAUGAGCUCGCGGCCUAUCAGCUUGUUGGUGAGGUAAUGGCUCACCAAGGCGUCGACGGGUAGCCGGCCUGAGAGGGUGACCGGCCACACUGGGACUGAGACACGGCCCAGACUCCUACGGGAGGCAGCAGUGGGGAAUAUUGCACAAUGGGCGCAAGCCUGAUGCAGCAACGCCGCGUGAGGGAUGACGGCCUUCGGGUUGUAAACCUCUUUUAGCAGGGAAGAAGCGAAAGUGACGGUACCUGCAGAAAAAGCGCCGGCUAACUACGUGCCAGCAGCCGCGGUAAUACGUAGGGCGCAAGCGUUAUCCGGAAUUAUUGGGCGUAAAGAGCUCGUAGGCGGUCUGUCGCGUCUGCUGUGAAAACCCGAGGCUCAACCUCGGGCCUGCAGUGGGUACGGGCAGACUAGAGUGCGGUAGGGGAGAUUGGAAUUCCUGGUGUAGCGGUGGAAUGCGCAGAUAUCAGGAGGAACACCGAUGGCGAAGGCAGAUCUCUGGGCCGUAACUGACGCUGAGGAGCGAAAGGGUGGGGAGCAAACAGGCUUAGAUACCCUGGUAGUCCACCCCGUAAACGUUGGGAACUAGUUGUGGGGUCCAUUCCACGGAUUCCGUGACGCAGCUAACGCAUUAAGUUCCCCGCCUGGGGAGUACGGGCGCAAGGCUAAAACUCAAAGGAAUUGACGGGGACCCGCACAAGCGGCGGAGCAUGCGGAUUAAUUCGAUGCAACGCGAAGAACCUUACCAAGGCUUGACAUAUAGAGGAAACGUCUGGAAACAGUCGCCCCGCAAGGUCUCUAUACAGGUGGUGCAUGGUUGUCGUCAGCUCGUGUCGUGAGAUGUUGGGUUAAGUCCCGCAACGAGCGCAACCCUCGUUCUAUGUUGCCAGCACGUAAUGGUGGGAACUCAU